This 56-nucleotide small nucleolar RNA is filed under the name Euglena gracilis. RNAcentral's name for it is "Eg-m104 box C/D methylation-guide". Lineage: Eukaryota; Euglenozoa; Euglenophyceae; Euglenales; Euglenaceae. The record is from RNAcentral.
GCCAUGAUGCACUGAACACUGAGUUUUCUGAAUCUUGAAGUCAAUCCUCUCCUGAG